GCGACGGGUGAGUAACCGUGGGCAAUCUGCCCUUCACUCUGGGACAAGCCCUGGAAACGGGGUCUAAUACCGGAUAACACUGCGGAUCGCAUGGUCUGCGGUUAAAAGCUCCGGCGGUGAAGGAUGAGCCCGCGGCCUAUCAGCUUGUUGGUGAGGUAAUGGCUCACCAAGGCGACGACGGGUAGCCGGCCUGAGAGGGCGACCGGCCACACUGGGACUGAGACACGGCCCAGACUCCUACGGGAGGCAGCAGUGGGGAAUAUUGCACAAUGGGCGAAAGCCUGAUGCAGCGACGCCGCGUGAGGGAUGACGGCCUUCGGGUUGUAAACCUCUUUCAGCAGGGAAGAAGCGAAAGUGACGGUACCUGCAGAAGAAGCGCCGGCUAACUACGUGCCAGCAGCC
Molecule: ribosomal RNA, 402 nt
Filed under: Streptomyces sp. MBT74
Lineage: Bacteria; Bacillati; Actinomycetota; Actinomycetes; Kitasatosporales; Streptomycetaceae
Description: bacterial SSU rRNA
Rfam family: Bacterial small subunit ribosomal RNA
Source: RNAcentral